GGCGGGGCAAAUUAAUGACAAAUGUAGCGACGCCCGCAGCUGUUUCUUAUAGAGCCAUGGGGAGGUAAUCAUGAUACGUGGAAGCAAGGGAGGAAACUGAAGGGGAAAAAAAAGCUAAUGCAAGUGUUUGUAUGUACAAGUACCCCAGUAAAUUAGAAACAGUUGGGGACCUGAAGACUUCUGAAGUGAUUCUACAAGUUGCAAGAUUCCAAUAGCUCAAAUAGAAUGGACUUACACAUUGGGCAUUAUAAAAUGAAGAAGUGACCAAAGUUCUUUCAAAGAAUUCUGUAAAGGUGUGCCAGUUAUAAGUAUCCUAUGAUUGGUAUCAAAGUUCUCCAGGGAUCUGUACAACAAAGAAUCAU
This is a long non-coding RNA of Biomphalaria glabrata, 362 nucleotides long. RefSeq lists it as uncharacterized. Lineage: Eukaryota; Metazoa; Mollusca; Gastropoda; Planorbidae. The record is from RefSeq and is a predicted model, not a curated record. The transcript has 3 exons.